This 2908-nucleotide ribosomal RNA is filed under the name Salmonella enterica subsp. enterica serovar Inverness. RNAcentral describes it as "23S ribosomal RNA". It matches the Rfam family "Bacterial large subunit ribosomal RNA". The record is from RNAcentral. Lineage: Bacteria; Pseudomonadati; Pseudomonadota; Gammaproteobacteria; Enterobacterales; Enterobacteriaceae.
GGUUAAGCGACUAAGCGUACACGGUGGAUGCCCUGGCAGUCAGAGGCGAUGAAGGGCGUGCUAAUCUGCGAUAAGCGCCGGUAAGGUGAUAUGAACCGUUAUAACCGGCGAUACCCGAAUGGGGAAACCCAGUGUGAUUCGUCACACUAUCAUUAACUGAAUCCAUAGGUUAAUGAGGCGAACCGGGGGAACUGAAACAUCUAAGUACCCCGAGGAAAAGAAAUCAACCGAGAUUCCCCCAGUAGCGGCGAGCGAACGGGGAGGAGCCCAGAGCCUGAAUCAGCAUGUGUGUUAGUGGAAGCGUCUGGAAAGGCGCGCGAUACAGGGUGACAGCCCCGUACACAAAAGCGCAUGUGCUGUGAGCUCGAUGAGUAGGGCGGGACACGUGGUAUCCUGUCUGAAUAUGGGGGGACCAUCCUCCAAGGCUAAAUACUCCUGACUGACCGAUAGUGAACCAGUACCGUGAGGGAAAGGCGAAAAGAACCCCGGCGAGGGGAGUGAAAAAGAACCUGAAACCGUGUACGUACAAGCAGUGGGAGCACAGGUUUACCUGUGUGACUGCGUACCUUUUGUAUAAUGGGUCAGCGACUUAUAUUCUGUAGCAAGGUUAACCGUAUAGGGGAGCCGGAGGGAAACCGAGUCUUAACCGGGCGUUAAGUUGCAGGGUAUAGACCCGAAACCCGGUGAUCUAGCCAUGGGCAGGUUGAAGGUUGGGUAACACUAACUGGAGGACCGAACCGACUAAUGUUGAAAAAUUAGCGGAUGACCUGUGGCUGGGGGUGAAAGGCCAAUCAAACCGGGAGAUAGCUGGUUCUCCCCGAAAGCUAUUUAGGUAGCGCCUCGUGAAUUCAUCUCCGGGGGUAGAGCACUGUUUCGGCUAGGGGGCCAUCCCGGCUUACCAACCCGAUGCAAACUGCGAAUACCGGAGAAUGUUAUCACGGGAGACACACGGCGGGUGCUAACGUCCGUCGUGAAGAGGGAAACAACCCAGACCGCCAGCUAAGGUCCCAAAGUCAUGGUUAAGUGGGAAACGAUGUGGGAAGGCCCAGACAGCCAGGAUGUUGGCUUAGAAGCAGCCAUCAUUUAAAGAAAGCGUAAUAGCUCACUGGUCGAGUCGGCCUGCGCGGAAGAUGUAACGGGGCUAAACCAUGCACCGAAGCUGCGGCAGCGACGCUGAUGCGUUGUUGGGUAGGGGAGCGUUCUGUAAGCCUGUGAAGGUGUGUCGUGAGGCAUGCUGGAGGUAUCAGAAGUGCGAAUGCUGACAUAAGUAACGAUAAAGCGGGUGAAAAGCCCGCUCGCCGGAAGACCAAGGGUUCCUGUCCAACGUUAAUCGGGGCAGGGUGAGUCGACCCCUAAGGCGAGGCCGAAAGGCGUAGUCGAUGGGAAACGGGUUAAUAUUCCCGUACUUGGUGUUACUGCGAAGGGGGGACGGAGAAGGCUAUGUUGGCCGGGCGACGGUUGUCCCGGUUUAAGCGUGUAGGUGUGUGUUCCAGGUAAAUCCGGUUCACUUUAACACUGAGGCGUGAUGACGAGGCACUACGGUGCUGAAGCAACAAAUGCCCUGCUUCCAGGAAAAGCCUCUAAGCAUCAGGUAACAUCAAAUCGUACCCCAAACCGACACAGGUGGUCAGGUAGAGAAUACCAAGGCGCUUGAGAGAACUCGGGUGAAGGAACUAGGCAAAAUGGUGCCGUAACUUCGGGAGAAGGCACGCUGACACGUAGGUGAAGUGAUUUACUCACGGAGCUGAAGUCAGUCGAAGAUACCAGCUGGCUGCAACUGUUUAUUAAAAACACAGCACUGUGCAAACACGAAAGUGGACGUAUACGGUGUGACGCCUGCCCGGUGCCGGAAGGUUAAUUGAUGGGGUCAGCGCAAGCGAAGCUCCUGAUCGAAGCCCCGGUAAACGGCGGCCGUAACUAUAACGGUCCUAAGGUAGCGAAAUUCCUUGUCGGGUAAGUUCCGACCUGCACGAAUGGCGUAAUGAUGGCCAGGCUGUCUCCACCCGAGACUCAGUGAAAUUGAACUCGCUGUGAAGAUGCAGUGUACCCGCGGCAAGACGGAAAGACCCCGUGAACCUUUACUAUAGCUUGACACUGAACAUUGAGCCUUGAUGUGUAGGAUAGGUGGGAGGCUUUGAAGUGUGGACGCCAGUCUGCAUGGAGCCGACCUUGAAAUACCACCCUUUAAUGUUUGAUGUUCUAACGUGGACCCGUAAUCCGGGUUGCGGACAGUGUCUGGUGGGUAGUUUGACUGGGGCGGUCUCCUCCUAAAGAGUAACGGAGGAGCACGAAGGUUGGCUAAUCCUGGUCGGACAUCAGGAGGUUAGUGCAAUGGCAUAAGCCAGCUUGACUGCGAGCGUGACGGCGCGAGCAGGUGCGAAAGCAGGUCAUAGUGAUCCGGUGGUUCUGAAUGGAAGGGCCAUCGCUCAACGGAUAAAAGGUACUCCGGGGAUAACAGGCUGAUACCGCCCAAGAGUUCAUAUCGACGGCGGUGUUUGGCACCUCGAUGUCGGCUCAUCACAUCCUGGGGCUGAAGUAGGUCCCAAGGGUAUGGCUGUUCGCCAUUUAAAGUGGUACGCGAGCUGGGUUUAGAACGUCGUGAGACAGUUCGGUCCCUAUCUGCCGUGGGCGCUGGAGAACUGAGGGGGGCUGCUCCUAGUACGAGAGGACCGGAGUGGACGCAUCACUGGUGUUCGGGUUGUCAUGCCAAUGGCACUGCCCGGUAGCUAAAUGCGGAAGAGAUAAGUGCUGAAAGCAUCUAAGCACGAAACUUGCCCCGAGAUGAGUUCUCCCUGAGACUUAGAGUCUCCUGAAGGAACGUUGAAGACGACGACGUUGAUAGGCCGGGUGUGUAAGCGCAGCGAUGCGUUGAGCUAACCGGUACUAAUGAACCGUGAGGCUUAACCUU